UUUUAGCACUCAAGGGUUGGCAGUCUAAUAAUCUAACCCUAACCCUAAGAAUUUUUAAGGUUUAAUUGCAAAUAUUGCUGUUAAUGUUAAUCAUUCUUCAUUAAUGGUUUUUAAUUUCUGUCCAAAUUACCUUCAGCACACUGAGUUGGAGACCAUAACACUGAAGUGCUAGACACACCAUGGCAGCAUGCAUGAAGGUACAUCAUAAGCUGGAAACAACACUAGAAGCCUACAGUGCCACUCUACUCCUCAAACAGUGAUACGCUUCAUCAUGAUGUCAAGAGUGAGGUGAAAAUGACAGCUGUAAGGAGAAAGCAACAGUUUGAAUCAAAGUUAUACUGUGAAACUGUUUUCUCUCGUCAAGAGAGAUAUCACACUACUAGUGUUAUUUCAAUUCGAGUUAAUUUCUAACUUGCAAUGGAAAUUUUCUUGUUUGCUAAGGUAGGUUUUCAGUAUCAUCUCGCUUUUCCUUACAAAUUGCAGAUUUAAAGAGUUUUGCUGAAAUUGAGAGGGAAGUCGGAAAAAAUGUCAACUUCAGGUGUGAAUAAGUAGACUGUUCACAGCCCUCUAUUUUCUCAUAUUUUUAUUCGAUCGUUGAACCCGCCGAGAGAAAGAGAGUCUCAACAAACCACAAGACAGUGUUUUUUUUUAUUUUUUACAGUGUUUGAGAGCCUGCAUGAAAGAGAAUUUGAAAUUAAUGUUAAGAAAUUGUUGGUGAACCAUUUCAUUUUGUCUAAGAAUACUG
Orbicella faveolata is the source of this 745-nucleotide long non-coding RNA. Lineage: Eukaryota; Metazoa; Cnidaria; Anthozoa; Scleractinia; Merulinidae. The record is from RefSeq and is a predicted model, not a curated record.